AUGCCAGUGAUACAACUUCAACCCAUGAGAGGACUCCACAGGUUGAAGAUUGCACCAUGUGCUGGAAACUGCUGUUUGUCCUGUGUCCAACUUUUGCUGUUCUCCCCUCUCUUCUUGUCUCGCUUCUUGUCCAUCACUACUGCCAGAAAACAGUUGAUCACCAAAGACCUGAAACCAGCGAGCAAACAAGAAGAAAUCAGGAUGAAGAUGUCUUUUAUGCUACAGUGGAAACCAGUCAAGCAACACAGAAAUCAAAGAAGAAGAUAAUGCAUAGUUCUGAUUUCUGUACCUAUUCUGCUAUCAACACCUCUGGGGUCUAGAUUUAACAUUGUUUCAUUCAAUUAUGCAUAAUGAAUUAUGUUGGUUAAACCAACUUUAAUAAUCCGCAAGGAUUGACAGUAGGUCCUUUGCUUUUCCCCUCAUCUAUAAAUAAUAUUGAAAACUGUAGUGACCUGAUUGUGUGCACAUAGCUUAAACCACAAUCUCCUCGCUGUCCUGUUUAGGCAUCAUAUCAGAAUCUCUAGGUGCCAGUACUAGAUGUUGAUGCCAGUAAAUUAAAGUUAUGCAUCUUAUCUGUGAAUGUUCAUGCUUUGGAUGAUUGGUAUAUACAUACAAAACAAUUUGUAUCAUUUGUCUCAUUUUUUGUUGUUGUUCAUUUAUAUAUUUUUAAGCAAUUAUAAUAGCAAAAUCUAAA
This 694-nucleotide long non-coding RNA is filed under the name Oreochromis niloticus (Nile tilapia). RNAcentral describes it as "lncRNA (ENSONIG00000029136.1)". The record is from RNAcentral. Lineage: Eukaryota; Metazoa; Chordata; Actinopteri; Cichliformes; Cichlidae.